AUGAACAUCAUGUAUCUGAGUGCAUCAACCAUAUUUGAGAAGUAUUGUGACAGUUGGGUGAUGAAGGCCGAUCCUAGGACAUCUAUCUUGAGUGGAUUUGGAUGGUUGCAGGAGACUAUCAGUACACCGGGAGAGACCUUCACCAUGCUUAGAAUGAAGGCAACAAUAUUCUUUGAACUUCAUGACUUGUUGAAGGAUAAGUAUGGGCUGAGCCAUUCCCCUUUUGUUAGUAGUUAUGAGUCUCUUGCUAUGUUCUUGUGGACCUUGGGAGGCUGUGAAUCAAAUAGAAGAACCCAAAACCGUUUCAAGCAUUCCACCGAUACAAUCCAUCGUAAAUUCCAUGAAGUACUACUUUGUGUGGUGAAGAUGUCAGCUGACUACAUCAAGCCUAAGGACCCAAAUUUUAUGGCCGUGCAUCCAAGGAUUCGGAAUGACAAAAGGGCUUAUCCACACUUGAAAGACUGCAUUGGUGCAAUAGAUGGGACUCACAUUAGGGCUUCUAUUCCCGAGGCCGCACAAGUGAGGUACAUCGGAAGAACAGGAGCAAUAACUCAAAAUGUGAUGGCAAUAUGUGACUUCGAUAUGCAUUUCACGUAUGCAUCUAUUGGUCAACCUGGUUCUAUGCAUGACACAACUGUGCUAUAUACCGCAAUGCAUAUGGAUAAGGCCACCUUUCCCCAUCCUCCAAAGGGUAAGCAUUUUUGCUUGUUGCAACUUAUGUCUUAUGUCCAACAACUUACAUGCACCAUUCUCUCUAUUUUGUAG
RNAcentral lists this ribosomal RNA (765 nucleotides) under Triticum aestivum (bread wheat). RNAcentral describes it as "partial small subunit ribosomal RNA". The record is from RNAcentral. Lineage: Eukaryota; Viridiplantae; Streptophyta; Magnoliopsida; Poales; Poaceae.